This is a non-coding RNA of Arachis ipaensis, 280 nucleotides long. Lineage: Eukaryota; Viridiplantae; Streptophyta; Magnoliopsida; Fabales; Fabaceae. The record is from RefSeq and is a predicted model, not a curated record.
UGAAAAAUUUUUAUCUUUCACUUUCCACCCCCAAUUCGUUCUGCUAACCGCAUCACAAAGCACUAGUUGCGGAACUCUGCCAUCAGUGUGCCGAGGAAGAUGACCUUGAACUUCUGCAAUCUUGUCGCCAUCAUCUGUCGCCGUCCGUCCUCCUCUGCAAUCGAAGAGAAACUAUAUGAUUUUGCAAGCUACCCUUCUCAGGAGCCUGAUGAAAUGGUUUUUGUUCCCUCUCCUAUAGAGUCUGAUGAACAUUUUGUUCAGGAACCACUUUGAAUGAUUA